This is a long non-coding RNA of Trematomus bernacchii (emerald rockcod), 482 nucleotides long. RefSeq lists it as uncharacterized. The record is from RefSeq and is a predicted model, not a curated record. The transcript has 3 exons. Lineage: Eukaryota; Metazoa; Chordata; Actinopteri; Perciformes; Nototheniidae.
CUCCUCAGCUAUGAGUUCAGUGUGUCUCUCGUGGAGCUCCACAGACGCACUCUGGACGUCGCGGUGAAGAACGGAGGAGGACUGCUCUCCAAACACAAAGGCCUUCUGGGAAAGGUUCUGGUGGAUUUGACGUACGAGGACACGUCUAAGGGUUGGACACAAUGGUAUGAGCUGAGUGAAGAUGGUCUGACGAAACCUCAACAACUAUAGAGCGAAACAACCAUCACAAUCACCAUCAUCAUCAUCACAAUCAUCAUCACCACAACCAUCAUCAUCAUCAUCACCACAAUGAUACAGUACAUCUAUUAUUUUUACUAAGUGCACAAAGUAAAGAAGAAGCAGCUUUGAUCCAUUUAACCACAUCAGUCGCAAGGCAGACCUCCCCUUUAAGAAGAGCCAGGCUUUAAAGGGAGUAUUCCACAUGUAGAAUAUUCAAUAUAUCACCAAUACUACCAUGUACUGCUGUGGAACAUAUAUUCCAU